RNAcentral lists this transfer RNA (75 nucleotides) under Streptomyces flaveus. RNAcentral describes it as "tRNA-Ala". The record is from RNAcentral. Lineage: Bacteria; Bacillati; Actinomycetota; Actinomycetes; Kitasatosporales; Streptomycetaceae.
AGCCCGCUGGGGUGCCGGACAGCCCUUGGACGAUCCGCGAUCGUCCAAGGGCUGUCCGGCCCAGCUCCGGGUCUC